RNAcentral lists this long non-coding RNA (1944 nucleotides) under Homo sapiens (human). RNAcentral describes it as "HSALNT0392045". Lineage: Eukaryota; Metazoa; Chordata; Mammalia; Primates; Hominidae. The record is from RNAcentral.
AAUGUUCCCUAAACACCUGCAAGGCAGAGGACACAGGGCUCCUGGUGCCCGUCCACCUAAGUGCCUCCUGGCCUCAGGGAAUCUGCUUUGGGGACCUGAAAGUAAGGUUCCCUGACCAUCAAGAACAGACAGACACUCAGCCACACUUCUGGAAACCUCCGCCCUUUGAAAGGGACUGGCUGGUGGAAGCAGGCGGCCUGGGGCAUAUCCCUGACCUUAUUACCCCCAGGUGGUGACAGAGAUGAUCUUUAAGUGUGGGAGCCUGGAGCCAAGUCCUUGGCCACAUCCCAGCUCUGCCUGGCUGUGUGCUGGUGGGUUAUUACCCUCAUUGCCUCAGUUUCCCCUCUGCACAAUGGGGCUGGCGCUAGUGCUCCCCACCCCAUAGACUGUCAUGAGAAGUAGCAUCUGGACAGGCCCUGAGAGCAGUGCCCAUCUCUGUGCCAUCCGCUGGGACUGGUGUUGGCCUGGUACUGUACCGUCUCACCCUUGUGUCCCCAGGAGGGGAGUGGGGUCGAGACCAGCCCCAGGGGUUACAUGGACAAUGGGGUUACAUGGACAAAUGCCUCUUGUUACAUUUUGUUCACUGGUUCCCAAAAUGAGGUGCAGGCUCUGCAGAGAAAGCAGGCUUUCCCCGAGGGGCUCUGGAGCAGAAAGAGCUGUCUCAAGGAGACGCAGAGAGAUGGUCUCGGGCGCGACCAGCAGGGAUUCCUCGUCCACACAGUUUCCUGACAGCGGUUGAAAGGGACGGGUCUACGCAGGCCAAGAACAGCAGCGGAGUGUGGGGUCAGGGGCCCAGCGGGGGGCACCCCGGGGAGGGGCCGCCUCCGCCAGACCCACCCCGGGUGAAAGGACGCAUUGUGUGCCCGCAGCAUGAGGGGAGCCUGCAGAGAGGCGUCUUUGUAGGGUCCACGAGGGGGAAAGCGCUUCCCGGCAGGCGGAGCACACAAGCCAGCCGGUGGCCACGGCCGGGACAGGCUUGUACGCAGGACAUUGAGGUCCGGCGAGGAUGGGGGGGCCACCAGGCCCCCGGCCCUUUGCAGAGUGUUGCUCGUUUUCUCCCACCCCAGAAUUGGGCUUGGCCAACACGGCCCCCCCAACCAUCCCCCCACCCCCGCCAGCUGCCCGGAGCCUCUGUGAAGAUGGCGGCACCGCCCCUUGCAAACUCCAUCUGCGUGGAGGUGGCACUCCUGCUCCGGGAGGGAUCCCGGUGCCCAGCAGAUGGCAGGCUUCCCCUAGAUCAGCCCAGGGCUGGCCGCUGCCUGCGGUGCACGCCCCCGCCCUCCCCCUCCCCGCCCCGCCCCGCCCCACCCCCACCUGCCUGUGGCUGGAGGGCAGCACUGCCUGCGCGCCUCCCCACCUGACCUCCCUCUUGCCUCCCUGCCUCCUUCCAAGCAGAUUUUGGUGAAUCCUAAAUCACGUGGAUAUUAACUCGCAAGUGCCUGCAAGCAGUUCUGAGGGCCGGGCUGGGGUGCACACUCACUUGGGCCAGGUCCCCCUGGUCAGGGUCAGCCAGACGCCACUCCUGCAUCCUGUCCACUCUUAGCAGCCUUCUGCCUUCCCUGCUGACUUUCCGCCUCUUCUCUGGGUGUCUGGUGGGUGGAGAGGUGGAGAGCCUCCAGCACAACCUCACCCCACCCCACCUCGCGUCAGCCUCAGCCUCCCCUGAGACUACACGGAACCCAGACACGUUUGACCUCUGGCCCCAAAGCAGAGAUGCCUGGCUGAUGGGAUGGGUGGGAGGCCUGACACAGCCAGAUGCAGCCUGCUUUGUGUCAUUCCUGCUCUCCCGGCGUGGACGCAGGGACCGCCCCCGGGACAGCCCAGCUGGGUCUCCAGGGUGGCUUUGUCUGGAAUUUACUUUGUGAACCUCUUGCUUGUCAAAAUUAUUUCAUAGAUGAUUCAUGGUUAUAUAGAAGUGUCAGAAAUAAAGAGAAGGAGCUCAGA